AAUUUUCUAAAUUGUUCUAAAACCUUAAACUUAGAAACCUAGUUUGUAGUAUUUUGGCUUUCAUCACAUUAUGUUUUACCUCUUUGCACAGAAUAUCACAAUCUUUGAAUAAGAGUGAAGAUGAGACAUUUACUUCUGCUACUCUAUUCAUAAAGUGUGCAAGCUUUGAAGAUGCCGGAAAUUAUAGUUGUAAUGCAGUUGAUGUUGAUAGUGAAGAAGAAUCCUCUCGAACAUUGGUUUUGGAUGUUGGCAUAAAAAAUGAAGUCAAAGCAUCCAAAGGUCCUCGUGUCAAAGCGGGAGACAAUGCUACCUUAUCUUGUACCUUUACUGGCUCAAACUUGCGUGACUUCAAGUGGUCAAAAAUUAACGACACAUCUGUAGUUGACCAUCCUGAGGAAAAUGGUGAAGUUCGCCCAAUCAAUGAAACGUAUGUUGAAACUUCACUCCAUCUACAUCAUGUGCGGACUCAGAAUGAUAAUGGGACCUACAUUUGCCAAGCGAACGGUUUCAAGGAUAAAGUUGUGGGCAUUGUUCCUUUGUAUGUUUUAGGUAAUUCCUCUUUCAUUUUUUGUUUUUAUUUAAGGUCCAAUAUUUUUACCUUUUUGCCAUCUUUGUUGAUGUUCUGCAAGAUAUAUUGAUCCUGGUCUCUGCAGAACUCAGAAUCUGUGCCUUUGUGUCCACUUACAUAAACCUUUGAACCUUGUCAAGUUAGGUUGGGUCGCGCCUAAUACUACAAAAUGGAAAGUAACCCCUAUAGAACUCUCAUCAGAACCUCAUUGUUCG
RNAcentral lists this long non-coding RNA (783 nucleotides) under Bemisia tabaci. RNAcentral's name for it is "lncRNA ENSSSA3NGG008342". Lineage: Eukaryota; Metazoa; Arthropoda; Insecta; Hemiptera; Aleyrodidae. The record is from RNAcentral.